AUACUUGGCAUGAGAGAUACCAUGAUCAAGAAGGUGGUUUUCCCAGGCAAGGCUUAUCCAUUGCACUCAGGAUGUGCUGACCCCUGCAAUCUCCCCAAAUGUGGGAAACUCGACUUCAUAAUUUGUGGUAGUGGGGGACUGCGUUCAUGCUGUCCCCUU
RNAcentral lists this small nuclear RNA (159 nucleotides) under Castor canadensis (American beaver). RNAcentral's name for it is "U1 spliceosomal RNA (ENSCCNG00000025070.1)". It matches the Rfam family "U1 spliceosomal RNA". From Rfam's summary of the family: U1 is a small nuclear RNA (snRNA) component of the spliceosome (involved in pre-mRNA splicing). Its 5' end forms complementary base pairs with the 5' splice junction, thus defining the 5' donor site of an intron. There are significant differences in sequence and secondary structure between metazoan and yeast U1 snRNAs, the latter being much longer (568 nucleotides as compared to 164 nucleotides in human). Lineage: Eukaryota; Metazoa; Chordata; Mammalia; Rodentia; Castoridae. The record is from Rfam by way of RNAcentral.